AUGAACGCUAGCGACAGGCCUGACACAUGCAAGUCAGGGGCAGCACAAGGAGCAAUCUGAGGUGGCGACCGGCGCACGGGUGAGUAACACGUAUGCAACCUGCCUGUAAGCGGGGAAUAACCCGUUGAAAGACGGACUAAUACCGCAUAAUACUAAAUUACUGCAUGGUAAUUUAUUUAAACAUUUAUGGCUUACAGAUGGGCAUGCGCAUGAUUAGCUAGUUGGAGAGGUAACGGCUCCCCAAGGCAACGAUCAUUAGGGGUUCUGAGAGGAAGGUCCCCACACUGGUACUGAGACACGGACCAGACUCCUACGGGAGGCAGCAGUGAGGAAUAUUGGUCAAUGGACGAGAGUCUGAACCAGCCAAGUCGCGUGCAGGAAGAAUGUCCUUAAUGGAUUGUAAACUGCUUUUGCAGGGGAAUAAAGUGCAUCACGUGUGAUGUUUUGUAUGUACUCUGCGAAUAAGGAUCGGCUAACUCCGUGCCAGCAGCUGC
Molecule: ribosomal RNA, 494 nt
Filed under: uncultured bacterium
Lineage: Bacteria
Description: bacterial SSU rRNA
Rfam family: Bacterial small subunit ribosomal RNA
Source: RNAcentral